GACGCGUGGUGAGAGGGUGGAGUCCAUCCCUCAUCGGAAACCGCGAACUGGGAGGCACUGUUCUAGGAGGAUGUGAGGGAUUUAAGUUACAGACCAUUUCCCUGCCAGUCAGUGACGGAUUUCAGGCCCUGUGCUGACACUCUCCAUGUGUUAAUAUAAUCAUCUCAAAUAAGAAUUUUGGAGUUUAAAUUGUAAUAAAUGAUCAUUCCACUGGA
Manis javanica (Malayan pangolin) is the source of this 215-nucleotide non-coding RNA. The record is from RefSeq and is a predicted model, not a curated record. NCBI's taxonomy places the organism in Eukaryota, Metazoa, Chordata, Mammalia, Pholidota, Manidae.